GGAAAGGUGGAUUGUGUGAGGCCUGUUGGACUUGAACGUGUAUCUCCUUUUAAAUAACUGGGGUUUUCUAUUGUUCUCUAGAUGUAGUUUGACUUUGCCUCCAAGAAGUUACUGAUUUUGUUUUUUAUAAAAAAUAAUUUUGGACAUGUGUACUAGAGAAAUCUCAGUUCUGUGCCCAGUGGUGGAAUAUUUGUAGGUACAAAUAACAAAUGGACUUCCGGUUUAGAAAAACCACCACCACCACCAAACAACAGCAAAACCCACACAUACAAAAGUAACAACAACAAAACUUCUGACUGCCAGAUUGAAUACAGGGUGUAUUCCCAGCUGGGUUUUUUGAUGUGUGGCAGGGAGGGGGGGGUUACAAUUAGAAUAGUAAUGCACUGUGGAUCGGUGCUUAAUUUGUACAUAAAAAGGAAAACUUUUUGUUUUGGGUAGUUUGUAUUGUAAGAACAGCAUCUAAAGGCACUGUGUAUCAGUCAUCUAUUUCCAUUUAAAAGAUUAUAUUUUUGAGCAAUGGAAACUGUACAUGUUAUCAUUUAUACAUUACUGAUAGGUAGGAAUAGAGAAAACCUGUUGCUAUGACUCUGAAGAUGUAUCUGACUUGUCAUUGAUCUGUACAUCGCUGCAUCACUACCUUAUACAAAUUCUCAUGCUCAUUUAGUUAAGGAGAUUGUAGUAACUGGUACAGUUACAACAGGAAUUGUAACGUCAAAACUUUCAGUAUAUCUCAAAUGUGUAUCCUUGUAGUUAAGUUUAAUCCUUUACCAAAUGUUUGGCUGGAAUUUCAUCUUGGAGCAAUGACACAAUCGGUGCUGGAACAGAUUUCCCUCACCCCAACCCACACUUUAUUUAUUUGAUAGGUCUUGUUUUGUAUGUUAUAUUUUCCCCCAUGACAGGUUUGUGCCUUUUAUUGGAUAUUUAUUUAAAAGGAGCGAUAAUUUAGGUUGCUUUUUUUCAGAUGUAUUCUUGUACAGCUGUUCCUUUAUGUGAGUUCCUUCGUUUUAUAAGAAUACAGAAUGUGUGGAAUAUACUAGCCACAAACUGGAAAAAAAUUUUGAGGGUUUAUGUUCUAUGAAUAAUUUUUUUAAAACGAAGCCUAAGCACAAGACUGGCUGUGUUGAUAUUUUAAUUGUGGAACUUCACAAUUUGUUAAUACGCAAAUUGUUUGUUUUUUAAAAACUGCUCAUAUCCAAUUAUUUGAUGAAACAAGUUUUGGAAAAAAAUAAACUUUGGCACAUGCAAGAUGUGUG
Molecule: long non-coding RNA, 1253 nt
Filed under: Lepidothrix coronata (blue-crowned manakin)
Lineage: Eukaryota; Metazoa; Chordata; Aves; Passeriformes; Pipridae
Description: lncRNA (ENSLCOG00000015472.1)
Source: RNAcentral